UCACCUAACCAUGCCACCCUGAACAUACCUAUCCCAUCUGGUUUUGGAAGCUAACCUGGGAUUGAUCUGGUUAGUAUGUGGAUGGGAAAUGCCCAGGAAAUACCAGGAACCGUACUGGGGGAA
Molecule: ribosomal RNA, 123 nt
Filed under: Pogona vitticeps (central bearded dragon)
Lineage: Eukaryota; Metazoa; Chordata; Lepidosauria; Squamata; Agamidae
Source: RNAcentral